This 69-nucleotide transfer RNA is filed under the name Marmota monax (woodchuck). RNAcentral's name for it is "tRNA.Ala". Lineage: Eukaryota; Metazoa; Chordata; Mammalia; Rodentia; Sciuridae. The record is from RNAcentral.
GGGGUUGUGGCUUAGUGGUAGAGUGUUUGCCUAGCAUGUGUGAGGCAUUGUGUUCCAACCUCAACACCA